RNAcentral lists this ribosomal RNA (468 nucleotides) under uncultured bacterium. RNAcentral's name for it is "partial 16S ribosomal RNA". It matches the Rfam family "Bacterial small subunit ribosomal RNA", at positions 28 to 507 of the family's 1533-position model. The record is from RNAcentral.
GACGAACGCUGGCGGCGUGCUUAACACAUGCCAGUCGAACGGAAAGGCCCUGCUUUUGUGGGGUGCUCGAGUGGCGAACGGGUGAGUAACACGUGAGUAACCUGCCCUUGACUUUGGGAUAACUCCAGGAAACUGGGGCUAAUACCGGAUAGGAGCUCCUGCUGCAUGGUGGGGGUUGGAAAGUUGCGGCGGUUGGGGAUGGACUCGCGGCUUACCAGCUUGUUGGUGGGGUAGUGGCUUACCAAGGCUUUGACGGGUAGCCGGCCUGAGAGGGUGACCGGCGACAUGGGGACUGAGAGACGGAGCAGAGUCGUACGGGAGGCAGCGGUGGGAAAUAUUGCACAAUGGGCGGGAGCCUGAUGCAGAGGCGCCGCGUGCGGGAUGACGGCCUUCGGGUUGUAAAACGCUUUCGCCUGUGACGAAGCGUGAGUGACGGUAAUGGGUGAAGAAGCACCGGCUAACUACGUG